This 253-nucleotide ribosomal RNA is filed under the name uncultured bacterium. RNAcentral's name for it is "partial 16S ribosomal RNA". It matches the Rfam family "Bacterial small subunit ribosomal RNA", at positions 524 to 776 of the family's 1533-position model. The record is from RNAcentral.
UACAGAGGUCCCAAGCGUUGUUCGGAUUCACUGGGCGUAAAGGGUGCGUAGGUGGCGGGGUAAGUUUGAUGUGAAAUCUCCGGGCUUAACCCGGAAAGGUCAGCCGAUACUGCGGGGCUAGAGUGCAGAAGGGGCAACUGGAAUUCUCGGUGUAGCGGUGAAAUGCGUAGAUAUCGAGAGGAACACCUGCGGCGAAGGCGGGUUGCUGGGCUGACACUGACGCUGAGGAGCGAAAGCGUGGGGAGCGAACAGG